Molecule: ribosomal RNA, 264 nt
Filed under: uncultured bacterium
Lineage: Bacteria
Description: partial 16S ribosomal RNA
Rfam family: Bacterial small subunit ribosomal RNA
Source: RNAcentral
GUCCACGCCCUAAACCAUGUCAACUGGGUGUUGGGGAAGCGAUUUCUCAGUACCGCAGCUAACGCGUGAAGUUGACCGCCUGGGGAGUACGGCCGCAAGGUUAAAACUCAAAGGAAUUGACGGGGACCCGCACAAGCGGUGGAUGAUGUGGAUUAAUUCGAUGCAACGCGAACAACCUUACCUACCCUUGACAUGUGCCGGAGCCUGCUGAGAGGCGGGUGUGCCCGAAAGGGAACGGCAACACAGGUGCUGCAUGGCUGUCGU